GACGAACGCUGGCGGCGUGCUUAACACAUGCAAGUCGAACGGAAAGGCCCUGCUUUUGUGGGGUGCUCGAGUGGCGAACGGGUGAGUAACACGUGAGUAACCUGCCCUUGACUUUGGGAUAACUUCAGGAAACUGGGGCUAAUACCGGAUAGGAGCUCCUGCUGCAUGGUGGGGGUUGGAAAGUUUCGGCGGUUGGGGAUGGACUCGCGGCUUAUCAGCUUGUUGGUGGGGUAGUGGCUUACCAAGGCUUUGACGGGUAGCCGGCCUGAGAGGGUGACCGGCCACAUGGGGCCUGAGAUACGGCCCAGACUCCUACGGGAGGCAGCAGUGGGGAAUAUUGCACAAUGGGCGGAAGCCUGAUGCAGCAACGCCGCGUGCGUGAUGACGGCCUUCGGGUUGUAAACCGCUUUCGCCUGUGACGAAGCGUGAGUGACGGUAAUGGGUAAAGAAGCACCGGCUAACUACGUG
Molecule: ribosomal RNA, 468 nt
Filed under: uncultured bacterium
Lineage: Bacteria
Description: partial 16S ribosomal RNA
Rfam family: Bacterial small subunit ribosomal RNA
Source: RNAcentral